Molecule: ribosomal RNA, 463 nt
Filed under: uncultured bacterium
Lineage: Bacteria
Description: partial 16S ribosomal RNA
Rfam family: Bacterial small subunit ribosomal RNA
Source: RNAcentral
GACGAACGCUGGCGGCGUGCUUAACACAUGCAAGUCGAACGGAAAGGCCUUUUCGGAGGUACUCGAGUGGCGAACGGGUGAGUAACACGUGGGUGAUCUGCCCUGCACUCUGGGAUAAGCCUGGGAAACUGGGUCUAAUACCGGAUAGGACCGCACUUUAGUGUGUGUGGUUGAAAGUUUUUUCGGUGUAGGAUGAGCCCGCGGCCUAUCAGCUUGUUGGUGGGGUAAUGGCCUACCAAGGCGGCGACGGGUAGCCGGACUGAGAGGUUGGUCGGCCACAUUGGGACUGAGAUACGGCCCAGACGCCUACGGGAGGCAGCAGUGGGGAAUAUUGCACAAUGGGCGCAAGCCUGAUGCAGCGACGCCGCGUGGGGGAUGACGGCCUUCGGGUUGUAAACUCCUUUCGCCAGGGACGAAGCGUUUUGUGACGGUACCUGGAGAAGAAGCACCGGCUAACUACGUG